AUGAGAGGGGCCGUGCGGCUGGGGUGCUACCAUGCAGUCGAACGGCAGCACAGGAGAGCUUGCUCUCUGGGUGGCGAGUGGCGGACGGGUGAGGAAUACAUCGGAAUCUACCUUUUCGUGGGGGAUAACGUAGGGAAACUUACGCUAAUACCGCAUACGACCUUCGGGUGAAAGCAGGGGACCUUCGGGCCUUGCGCGGAUAUCCCGAGCCGAUGUCGGAUUAGCUAGUUGGCGGGGUAAAGGCCCACCAAGGCGACGAUCCGUAGCUGGUCUGAGAGGAUGAUCAGCCACACUGGGAACUGAGACACGGUCCAGACUCCUACGGGGAGGCAGCAGUGGGGAAUAUUGGACAAUGGGGCGCAAGCCUGAUCCAGCCAUACCGCGUGGGUGAAGAAGGCCUUCGGGUUGUAAAGCCCUUUUUGUUGGGAAAGAAAAGCAAUCGAUUAAUACUCGGUUGGUUCUGACGGUACCCAAAAGAAUAAACCACCCGGCUAACUUUCUUGCCCACCAGCCGCUUUUUAUACGAAGGGGGUGCAAGCCUUUCACCCCCCGAAUUUCCUGGGGCGUAAACCGUGCCGUAGGUUGGUUUGUUUUAAGUCCUGUUGUGAAAUUCCCUGGGGCUCCACCCUUGGGGAAUUUG
RNAcentral lists this ribosomal RNA (640 nucleotides) under Stenotrophomonas sp. SL3A. Its description in RNAcentral is "bacterial SSU rRNA". The stretch from base 15 to 534 matches the Rfam family "Bacterial small subunit ribosomal RNA", at positions 39 to 536 of the family's 1533-position model. Lineage: Bacteria; Pseudomonadati; Pseudomonadota; Gammaproteobacteria; Lysobacterales; Lysobacteraceae. The record is from RNAcentral.